CGCUUCCUACGGGACGCAGCAGUGGGGGAUAUUGCACAAUGGGGGAACCCUGAUGCAGCGACGCCGCAUGGGUGAAGAAGCGCCUCGGCGCGUAAAGCCCUGUCAGCAGGGAAGAAAAUGACGGUACCUGAAGAAGAAGCCCCGGCUAACUACGUGCCAGCAGCCGCGGUAAUACGUAGGGGGCAAGCGUUAUCCGGAUUUACUGGGUGUAAAGGAGGCGCAGACGGCGAUGCAAGCCAGGAGUGAAAGCCCGGGGCCCAACCCCGGGACUGCUCUUGGAACUGCGUGGCUGGAGGGCAGGAGGG
Molecule: ribosomal RNA, 305 nt
Filed under: uncultured bacterium
Lineage: Bacteria
Description: bacterial SSU rRNA
Rfam family: Bacterial small subunit ribosomal RNA
Source: RNAcentral